UACGGAUAGCCCGACAUAUUCGUGUACGCACAGCAGCCCAGAAACAGAGAGGGGAGAGAUCGACGAUGCCACCGAAGUUCACGCACCCGCGGCUGGUGCACCACGUAAGCCUGUUCACGCGCGUAAAGGCGUGGUGGCUCGGCAUCGAGAACCCUGAGGUGCUGUCACGGUACGGCGAACGGGGUGUCGCGCGCACGGUGUGGAUCGAGUGGCGUGGCACUCUGGCCAUGUGCGCCGGUGGUUUUGUUUUGUUUAUUGGCCGUCAGCAGUCGAAGCGUGCGAACGACAUUCUUGACAAUAUCGAGCUGAACCGCCAGCGCUUCUACCAACGGGACUUCACGCCGACGUACGUGCCUGACGCGCCGAGCGGUGUGUACGAUGGCGUGAGGGGAUACAGUUACCGCGACGAGCCGAGUGGACUCAUGAUCAAUGCGGACAACAAGUUGGUCUCCGAUGAAUCGCGAGCGGCGCGGGGCGAGCGCCUGGCGAAGACCGAGGUGACACCGGAAAUGGUCGCCCAGGCGCGCAAUCUCCUGCACAGCAGACGCUACGAGGGUACGCCAGAAGGAUGAGUAGGCGGUGACGUGUGCCAAUAUUCACCGGCAGCGGUGUUAAUGACGGUGACUACUACUCAGACAGCGGCCGUGCACAUCAUGCGCAGGCUUUUCUGGCGCCUCAUACUUCAUGUUUUGUUUGCAUGUCGACGCUCUGCUGCUGCCCCAUCCUCCUCUUGUGCUCAUGCUGAGGGGCUCGGGGCUCUCGCGUGAUGACGUACGUG
RNAcentral lists this unclassified non-coding RNA (778 nucleotides) under Leishmania donovani. Its description in RNAcentral is "gene:LdHU3.04.1410(CDS-product:hypothetical_prote in_conserved)". Lineage: Eukaryota; Euglenozoa; Kinetoplastea; Trypanosomatida; Trypanosomatidae. The record is from RNAcentral.